This 253-nucleotide ribosomal RNA is filed under the name uncultured bacterium. RNAcentral's name for it is "partial 16S ribosomal RNA". It matches the Rfam family "Bacterial small subunit ribosomal RNA", at positions 524 to 776 of the family's 1533-position model. The record is from RNAcentral.
UACGAAGGGGGCUAGCGUUGCUCGGAAUCACUGGGCGUAAAGGGUGCGUAGGCGGGUCUUUAAGUCAGGGGUGAAAUCCUGGAGCUCAACUCCAGAACUGCCUUUGAUACUGAGGAUCUUGAGUUCGGGAGAGGUGAGUGGAACUGCCAGUGUAGAGGUGAAAUUCGUAGAUAUUCGCAAGAACACCAGUGGCGAAGGCGGCUCACUGGCCCGAUACUGACGCUGAGGCACGAAAGCGUGGGGAGCAAACAGG